Molecule: transfer RNA, 74 nt
Filed under: marine sediment metagenome
Also listed under: 1 other name
Rfam family: tRNA
About the family: Transfer RNA (tRNA) molecules are approximately 80 nucleotides in length. Their secondary structure includes four short double-helical elements and three loops (D, anti-codon, and T loops). Further hydrogen bonds mediate the characteristic L-shaped molecular structure. tRNAs have two regions of fundamental functional importance: the anti-codon, which is responsible for specific mRNA codon recognition, and the 3' end, to which the tRNAs corresponding amino acid is attached (by aminoacyl-tRNA synthetases). tRNAs cope with the degeneracy of the genetic code in two manners: having more than one tRNA (with a specific anti-codon) for a particular amino acid; and 'wobble' base-pairing, i.e. permitting non-standard base-pairing at the 3rd anti-codon position.
Source: RNAcentral
CGGGGCGUGGCGCAGUUUGGUAGCGCGCGUGACUGGGGGUCACGAGGUCGCUGGUUCAAGUCCAGUCGCCCCGA